UCCGACUUGCCGGCAGAACUUAGGCUGCGGGACCCCGGGCACUGUUGCUGCUGCGGGAGGCAGAUGUGAUUCUCCUUGUCACGUGCUCUGUCAGGGAGAAGGCUGAGCAGACCAUCUGGAACCGUUUACAUCAGCUUAAAGCCUUGAAGACAAGGCGGCCCCGCUCCCGGGUUCCUCUGAGGAUUGGAAUUCUAGGCUGCAUGGCUGAGAGGUUGAAGGAGGAGAUUCUCAACAGAGAGAAAAUGGUAGAUAUUUUGGCUGGUCCUGACGCCUACCGGGACCUUCCCCGGCUGCUGGCUGUUGCUGAGUCGGGUCAGCAAGCUGCCAACGUGCUGCUCUCUCUGGACGAGACCUAUGCUGAUGUCAUGCCAGUCCAGACAAGCGCCAGUGCCACGUCUGCCUUUGUGUCGAUCAUGCGAGGCUGUGACAACAUGUGUAGCUACUGCAUUGUUCCUUUCACCCGGGGCAGGGAGAGGAGUCGGCCUAUUGCCUCCAUUCUAGAGGAAGUGAAGAAGCUUUCUGAGCAGGGGCUGAAAGAAGUGACACUUCUUGGUCAGAAUGUUAAUAGUUUUUGGGACAAUUCAGAGGUCCAGUUCAACAAUGCAGUACCUACCAAUCUCAGUCGUGGCUUUACCACCAACUAUAAAACCAAGCAAGGAGGACUUCGUUUUGCUCAUCUUCUGGAUCAGGUCUCCAGAGUAGAUCCUGAAAUGAGGAUCCGCUUUACCUCUCCCCACCCCAAGGAUUUUCCCGAUGAG
Molecule: small RNA, 758 nt
Filed under: Pan troglodytes (chimpanzee)
Lineage: Eukaryota; Metazoa; Chordata; Mammalia; Primates; Hominidae
Description: processed transcript
Source: RNAcentral